This 490-nucleotide ribosomal RNA is filed under the name uncultured bacterium. RNAcentral's name for it is "partial 16S ribosomal RNA". It matches the Rfam family "Bacterial small subunit ribosomal RNA", at positions 28 to 507 of the family's 1533-position model. The record is from RNAcentral.
GAUGAACGCUAGCUACAGGCUUAACACAUGCAAGUCGCGGGGCAGCAUGGGGGUUGCUUGCAAUCCCCGAUGGCGACCGGCGCACGGGUGAGUAACGCGUAUCCAACCUGCCCUUCACCACGGGCUAACCCGGCGAAAGUCGGACUAAUACCGUAUGUUGUCCAUUGACGGCCUCCGAUUUGGACGAAAGGCUUGGCGGUGAGGGAUGGGGAUGCGUCCGAUUAGCCAGACGGCGGGGUAACGGCCCACCGUGGCUACGAUCGGUAGGGGUUCUGAGAGGAAGGUCCCCCACACUGGAACUGAGACACGGUCCAGACUCCUACGGGAGGCAGCAGUGAGGAAUAUUGGUCAAUGGGCGUAAGCCUGAACCAGCCAAGUAGCGUGCAGGAUGACGGCCCUAUGGGUUGUAAACUGCUUUUAUGCGGGGAUAAAGUGGCCCACGUGUGGGCUUUUGCAGGUACCGCAUGAAUAAGGACCGGCUAAUUCCGUG